UACACACUCAAUGACAACUG
RNAcentral lists this unclassified non-coding RNA (20 nucleotides) under Mus musculus (house mouse). RNAcentral's name for it is "oocyte_clustered_small_RNA537". Lineage: Eukaryota; Metazoa; Chordata; Mammalia; Rodentia; Muridae. The record is from RNAcentral.